This 28-nucleotide small RNA is filed under the name Bombyx mori (domestic silkworm). RNAcentral describes it as "ovarian small RNA-5456". The record is from RNAcentral. Lineage: Eukaryota; Metazoa; Arthropoda; Insecta; Lepidoptera; Bombycidae.
GGCUAUGCGAUCUCCGCUCCAGGAGGGA